RNAcentral lists this ribosomal RNA (201 nucleotides) under uncultured bacterium. Its description in RNAcentral is "partial 16S ribosomal RNA". It matches the Rfam family "Bacterial small subunit ribosomal RNA", at positions 328 to 539 of the family's 1533-position model. The record is from RNAcentral.
ACGCUCGACACCUACGGGGAGGCAGCAGGUGGGGAAUAUUGCACAAGUGGGGGAAACCCUGAUGCAGCGACGCCGCGUGAAGGAAGAAGUAUCUCGGUAUGUAAACUUCUAUCAGCAGGGAAGAAAAUGACGGUACCUGACUAAGAAGCCCCGGCUAACUACGUGCCAACAGCCGCGGUAAUCUGAGCGGGCUGGCAAGGC